CCUCUUUCUUUCCUCUGUCCACUACUACUACUACUACUACUACUACUACUACUACUACUACUACUACUACUACUACUACUAUUACUACUACUACUACUACUACUACUACUGCAGGCUGGGCAGCAGUGGUGGCCAACUUGGAGGACAUUGUGGCAGCCUUCAGAACAAGACAUGACGCAUUCCAGCAAAAUUUUGUGGAGUAUCUCAGUGGCCCGGAGGAGAAGGUCGCCCUGCUUCAGUCUUUUGAAGAGGACCUUAAGCUACUGGCAAGGAUUCCAGUCUUCCCUGAACUCUUGGGGAAGACACAAGAGGAAGAGGAAGAGGAAGAAGCUGGGAAGAAGAGGAGGACAAGCACAGCACAGAAGAAAGAGGAGGAGGAAGAGAAGGAAGAGGAGGAGAAGGAGGAGGAGGAAGAGGAGGAAGAGCAGGAGGAGGAGAAAAGAGGAGGAGAAGGAGGAAAAAGAGAAAUGAGGCAAGUGUUGCUGCUGGACUGGAUCAGCGCCAAGGACAGCCAAAGUGACGUCAGAUUGCCCAACUCUGCUGCAGGGGACUGGCUCAGUUUUGAAGAAGAGGAGGAGGAAGAGGAAGAGGAAGGAGGAGGAGGAGGAGGAGGAGGAGGAGGGUUAGGUGUGGCCCUCCCUCCCCCUCCCACACCACUGCAGUCCCAGCCUCUGAUUGGCCAGCCCUCAGCCAAUCAGGAGAGAGACUUUAUGGCCUUACAGGUGGAGGAAGGCCGAAGGGAACUGGAGGAGGAGAGAAAGAGGCACAGGCUGGAGGUUGAAAACAAAAGGUCUAGAUUUAGAAUGAUGACAACGACCACAGCCACCACCAGCACCUCCCCCACUAGCCUGCCUUUCUCUUCAAGUCCCAGCGAGGAGCACCCGCCCUCCUCCCCAGCCUCCUCUCUCAACAGAUGGGAGGGCCUGGACAGACUGAGAGAGGAACUGAUGAAAGAGAGAGAGAUAGAGAUUGAAGAGAGAAUUGCAAGUGUAAGAGAGGAAGAAAGGAGGAAAUUAGAUGACGAAAAACAGAUAGAGAUUGAAGAGAGAAUUGCAAGUGUAAGAGAGGAAGAAAGGAGGAAAUUAGAUGACGAAAAACAGAAGCAGUUGGCCAAAAUAAUAAUGUCAGAAGUAAGACAAAGCUUUGAAGAAAGAACAUCUGUCAUAAAGUGUUACUGGAGGCACGAAAAUGUCAAAGAAGUGCAAAGACAAUUCAGAAGACACUUUGACAGGGAUCCACCCAGGUGACGCACCAUUGCUCGCAUCACAGCUAAAUUUGCAUCAACCAGCAGCAGCAGCAGCAGCAGCAUGUCAGUAGUAGCAGGAGUAGUGAAUGGUCACUCGUAUGUGGUGACUACUUGGACUAUCAGGCCGCCCUUGUAGUGUGCUGGACUAUUGGUCAACAAGGAGCCCUGAAAGUUACGUGGUACAACUAUUUCGGCGAUAGUAAUGGCUUUGCAGAAAGGGAUCUGAUGAUGUCCUCCAAAGCAAUAUAAUACCACCAUUGCUAGUCCUGUUUGGUUAUCCCAUUAACAAAAAAAAAAAAAAAACUUAUAAGAAUAAAAAGUUUGCAAGGUCCUGUAUUGCAGUAAGUGGUGGUGGACAACAGUGUGAAAGUUUGUGUUUUAUCUCUUCAUAAUUUACUUAUGCAUACAUUUUGUAUUUAGCACUAUGAAAGUUGAUAGCAAGUUUUUUGCAUGCAGGUCGUGGUGCUUUAAAAUCAGGACAUUUUUUUAAUUUGUCAAAUCAUUACACAAAUGUACACUCCUCAGAACCAGGAUAUAGAAUUGGAUGUGAAAUUGAUGGCUGUUCUAGAUCAUACAAAUCUGUAAAGUAUCUACUAAGACACAUUCGUUCACAUCACGCAUUAUUUUAUAAUUGCCAUCUUAAUAGAGUGAG
This is a long non-coding RNA of Scylla paramamosain (green mud crab), 1898 nucleotides long. RefSeq lists it as uncharacterized. The transcript has 10 exons. The record is from RefSeq and is a predicted model, not a curated record. NCBI's taxonomy places the organism in Eukaryota, Metazoa, Arthropoda, Malacostraca, Decapoda, Portunidae.